This 459-nucleotide ribosomal RNA is filed under the name uncultured bacterium. RNAcentral describes it as "partial 16S ribosomal RNA". It matches the Rfam family "Bacterial small subunit ribosomal RNA", at positions 338 to 795 of the family's 1533-position model. The record is from RNAcentral.
CCUACGGGCGGCAGCAGUGAGGAAUAUUGGUCAAUGGGCGGGAGCCUGAACCAGCCAAGCCGCGUGAGGGAAGAAGGUACAGCGUAUCGUAAACCUCUUUUGUCAGGGAACAAAGGCGGGGACUAGUCCCCGGAUGUGGGUACCUGAAGAAAAAGCAUCGCCUAACUCCGUGCCAGCAGCCGCGGUAAUACGGAGGAUGCGAGCGUUAUCCGGAUUUAUUGGGUUUAAGGGGUGGGAAGGCGGCCUGUUAAGUCAGCGGUAAAAGGCCGGGGCUCAACCCCAGCGCGCCGUUGAAACUGGGGGGCUGGAGUUGGAGAGAGGUACGCGGAAUGCGCGGUGUAGCGGUGAAAUGCUUAGAUAUCGCGCAGAACCCCGAUUGCGAAGGCAGCGUACCGGCUCCACACUGACGCUGAGGCACGAAAGCGUGGGUAUCGAACAGGAUUAGAUACCCGUGUAGUC